Molecule: ribosomal RNA, 253 nt
Filed under: uncultured bacterium
Lineage: Bacteria
Description: partial 16S ribosomal RNA
Rfam family: Bacterial small subunit ribosomal RNA
Source: RNAcentral
GACAGAGGGUGCAAACGUUGUUCGGAAUUACUGGGCGUAAAGCGAGUGUAGGCGGUCCGAAAAGUCGGGUGUGAAAGCCCUGGGCUCAACCCAGGAAGUGCACUCGAAACUGCCGGGCUAGAGUAUCGGAGAGGUUGGUGGAAUUCUCGGUGUAGAGGUGAAAUUCGUAGAUAUCGAGAGGAACACCGGUGGCGAAGGCGGCCAACUGGACGAAUACUGACGCUGAGACUCGAAAGCGUGGGGAGCAAACAGG